This 497-nucleotide ribosomal RNA is filed under the name uncultured bacterium. RNAcentral describes it as "partial 16S ribosomal RNA". It matches the Rfam family "Bacterial small subunit ribosomal RNA", at positions 28 to 507 of the family's 1533-position model. The record is from RNAcentral.
GAUGAACGCUGGCGGCGUGCCUAAUACAUGCAAGUCGAGCGAACAGACGAGGAGCUUGCUCCUCUGACGUUAGCGGCGGACGGGUGAGUAACACGUGGAUAACCUACCUAUAAGACUGGGAUAACUUCGGGAAACCGGAGCUAAUCCCGGAUAAUCUAUUGAACCGCAGGGUUCAAUAGUGAAAGACGGUUUUGCUGUAACUUAUAGAUGGAUCCCGGCCGCUUUAGCUAGUUGUUAAGGUAACGGCUUACCAAGGCAACGAUGCGUAGCCGACGGGAGAGGCUGAUCGGCGACAUGAGAGGUUAGACAGGGACAAGAGUCCUACGGGAGGCAGCAGUAUGGAACCUUCCGCAGUGGUCGAAAGCCUUACGGAGCAACGCCGAGUGAGUUAUGAAGGUCUCCGGAUCGUAAAACCCUGCUUUUAGGGAUGAACAAAUUUGUAAGUAACCAUGGACGUCUUGACGGUACUGAAUCAGAAAGCCACGGCUAACUACGUG